This 482-nucleotide ribosomal RNA is filed under the name uncultured bacterium. RNAcentral's name for it is "bacterial SSU rRNA". It matches the Rfam family "Bacterial small subunit ribosomal RNA", at positions 501 to 986 of the family's 1533-position model. The record is from RNAcentral.
CUACGUGCCAGCAGCCGCGGUAAUACGUAUGUCACGAGCGUUAUCCGGAUUUAUUGGGCGUAAAGCGCGUCUAGGUGGUUAUGUAAGUCUGAUGUGAAAAUGCAGGGCUCAACUCUGUAUUGCGUUGGAAACUGUGUAACUAGAGUACUGGAGAGGUAAGCGGAACUACAAGUGUAGAGGUGAAAUUCGUAGAUAUUUGUAGGAAUGCCGAUGGGGAAGCCAGCUUACUGGACAGAUACUGACGCUAAAGCGCGAAAGCGUGGGUAGCAAACAGGAUUAGAUACCCUGGUAGUCCACGCUGUAAACGAUGAUUACUAGGUGUUGGGGGUCGAACCUCAGCGCCCAAGCAAACGCGAUAAGUAAUCCGCCUGGGGAGUACGUACGCAAGUAUGAAACUCAAAGGAAUUGACGGGGACCCGCACAAGCGGUGGAGCAUGUGGUUUAAUUCGACGCAACGCGAGGAACCUUACCAGCGUUUGACA